AAUUCGAUUGAGUUUGAUCAUGGCUCAGGACGAACGCUUGCGGCGUGCCUAAGAAAUGCAAGUCGAACGGUGUAGCAAUACAUAGUGGCGAACGGUCGCGUAACACGUAAGCAACCUGCCCGAAAGUGGGGGACAACAUCCCGAAAGGGGUGCUAAUACCGCAUGUGGUUGUUUCUUCGCAUGAAGAAACAUCUAAAGCCUUGUGCGCUUUCGGAUGGGCUUGCGGCCUAUCAGGUAGUUGGUGGGGUAACGGCCUACCAAGCCUUUGACGGGUAGCUGGUCUGAGAGGAUGUCCAGCCGGAUUGGGACUGAGAUACGGCCCAGACUCCUACGGGGGGCAGCAAUUAGGAAUCUUGCACAAUGGGGGAAACCCUGAUGCAGCGACGCCGCGUGAAGGAUGAAGGAUUUCGGUCUGUAAACUUCUUUUAUCGGGGACGAAGAAUGUGACGGUACCCGAAGAAUAAGCCCCGGCUAACUACGUGCCAGCAGCCGCGGUAAUACGUAGGGGGCGAGCGUUGUCCGAAGUUACUGGGCGUAAAGCGCGCGUAGGCGGCCAUUUAAGUCUGGGGUGAAAGGUUCAACGCUCAACGUGAACAGUGCCUUGGAUACUGGGUGGCUUGAGUUUGGAAGGGGAAAGCGGAAUUCCGGGUGUAGCGGUGAAAUGCGUAGAUAUCCGGAGGAACACCGAUGGCGAAG
Molecule: ribosomal RNA, 696 nt
Filed under: uncultured bacterium
Lineage: Bacteria
Description: bacterial SSU rRNA
Rfam family: Bacterial small subunit ribosomal RNA
Source: RNAcentral